AAAAAUUUAAAACAAUAUCCACGUACCAUGAAAGAGAGUUUAAUAUAUAUUAAUACAAAUGUAGAAUAUGUUUAGAAAUUUUAAAACAACACUAAAGAUCAUAUGCUUAAUAUAUAGAGCAUUUACCGAAAAAUCAUUAUUUUCGUAGGGGUUGUUAACGCAUAGAUUUUCAGAAAAAUUCAAAAAAUUUGACAAUACUAUUAAAUACAUAUAUGAGUCAUGUAGUAAUAUAUGAUGAAGUUCAAAGAGGUUUGGAACCUUUGUUGUCUCCGUUUCUCUAGGGAAUAGCAAUUUUAUAGUGGUUAGUCCAAUGAUUUAGGGAGUAUUUGCAGUUUUGCUAAAUUAAUGGAUAAAAAAUUAGAACGAUGUCCUUGUACCACGAAAAGAAGUUUAUCAUACAUUAA
Brassica rapa (field mustard) is the source of this 404-nucleotide long non-coding RNA. RefSeq lists it as uncharacterized. NCBI's taxonomy places the organism in Eukaryota, Viridiplantae, Streptophyta, Magnoliopsida, Brassicales, Brassicaceae. The record is from RefSeq and is a predicted model, not a curated record.